Molecule: ribosomal RNA, 511 nt
Filed under: Plectosphaerella cucumerina
Lineage: Eukaryota; Fungi; Ascomycota; Sordariomycetes; Glomerellales; Plectosphaerellaceae
Description: eukaryotic LSU rRNA
Rfam family: 5.8S ribosomal RNA (bases 127-280)
Source: RNAcentral
UCUCUACCCUUUGUGAACUAUUAUACCUGUUGCUUCGGCGGCGCCCGCGAGGGUGCCCGCCGGUCUCAUCAGAAUCUCUGUUUUCGAACCCGACGAUACUUCUGAGUGUUCUUAGCGAACUGUCAAAACUUUUAACAACGGAUCUCUUGGCUCCAGCAUCGAUGAAGAACGCAGCGAAACGCGAUAUGUAAUGUGAAUUGCAGAAUUCAGUGAAUCAUCGAAUCUUUGAACGCACAUGGCGCCUUCCAGUAUCCUGGGAGGCAUGCCUGUCCGAGCGUCGUUUCAACCCUCGAGCCCCCGUGGCCCGGCGUUGGGGAUCUGCCACGGCAGGCCCCUAAAACCAGUGGCGGACCCGAAGGCCCUCUCCUUUGCGCAGUAGCAUCAGCCUCGCAUUGGGAUCCCUCGGCGUCCUGCCUCUAAACCCCCCACAAGUCCGCUCCGGCGGCACCAAGGUUGACCUCGGAUCAGGUAGGAAUACCCGCUGAACUUAAGCAUAUCAAUAAGCGGAGGA